CAGUAGCCGCGGUAAAACGGAGGGUGCAAGCGUUAUCCGGAUUUAUUGGGUUUUAAGGGUCCGUAGGCGGAUCUGUAAGUCAGUGGUGAAAUCUCACAGCUUAACUGUGAAACUGCCAUUGAUACUGCAGGUCUUGAGUAAAUUUGAAGUGGCUGGAAUAAGUAGUGUAGCGGUGAAAUGCAUAGAUAUUACUUAGAACACCAAUUGCGAAGGCAGGUCACUAAGAUUUAACUGACGCUGAUGGACGAAAGCGUGGGGAGCAAACAGGAUUAGAUACCCCUGUAGUCCCUGUCUCUUAUAC
Molecule: ribosomal RNA, 301 nt
Filed under: uncultured bacterium
Lineage: Bacteria
Description: partial 16S ribosomal RNA
Rfam family: Bacterial small subunit ribosomal RNA
Source: RNAcentral